RNAcentral lists this ribosomal RNA (253 nucleotides) under uncultured bacterium. Its description in RNAcentral is "partial 16S ribosomal RNA". It matches the Rfam family "Bacterial small subunit ribosomal RNA", at positions 524 to 776 of the family's 1533-position model. The record is from RNAcentral.
UACAGAGGUCUCAAGCGUUGUUCGGAUUCAUUGGGCGUAAAGGGUGCGUAGGCGGCGCGGUAAGUCGGGUGUGAAAUCUCGGAGCUUAACUCCGAAACUGCAUUCGAUACUGCCGUGCUUGAGGACUGGAGAGGAGACUGGAAUUUACGGUGUAGCGGUGAAAUGCAUAGAUAUCGUAAGGAAGACCAGUGGCGAAGGCGGGUCUCUGGACAGUUCCUGACGCUGAGGCACGAAGGUCAGGGGAGCAAACGGG